This is a long non-coding RNA of Passer domesticus (house sparrow), 3441 nucleotides long. RefSeq lists it as uncharacterized. Lineage: Eukaryota; Metazoa; Chordata; Aves; Passeriformes; Passeridae. The transcript has 3 exons. The record is from RefSeq and is a predicted model, not a curated record.
ACAGCCCCGGCACUGUGACUUCCCUCAGCAAGGGAAGUGACAGACAGAGGGGCCUUGGAUUGCAGGCAGCAGACACAGAGAGUGUUCAUGUGCAUCAUACACAUGCACGAGUAUUCUGUGCAAUACUAUGCCUCUGCAGUUCCCUCAAGCAUUUAAAAAGCAAAUCAAACUCCUUUUUUGUAUGAAAGCUGUAUGGAUAGCUUUGAGAUACUGGUCUUUAAAGGGAAUAGAGAGCAACCAACUGAACUCCUUAGCUUUUCAGAAAUAGCCCCACAGCUGGUUAGAUUAAUUUGUUUCUUUUUGGCAUUCCUUCCCCCAAGGCAGUAAGCACGAUCAGCUGCUAUCCACUGGAAGCACUAUAGAAACAUAUCUAUUAUUAUUAUUAUUGUUGUUGUUAUUAUUAUUAUUAUUAUUAUUAUUUCUCAUCUGUAAAUACUGGCAAUGUGUUACACUGCUGUUUGUCAUACUGAGAGCAGAUGGUUUAUUAUGAGAUUACAUUCUGGACCUCCAGAGAUGCUGCAUCCAAUUUGCCAAUCCCAUCAUUCCCUCAAAUGCUAUGGAUGACUUCAUGAAUACAGGAUGCAGUACUGUCAAUAUACUUACAAUUUUAUUGUGUUCCACAAUGGCUGAACAAUGUUUUAACAUUUCUGUGGAAGCCACGCUACACCUCAAACAGAAGACGUGGGCUUGAUGAAGAAAUGAUUGAAUGUGGAUUUUUGCUUUGUCUAAUACAAAAGCUCAGAGAAGAUUACCAUGACAAUCUUCUUUGGUUCUAAAUGCACAAUCAUGUGAUUUUUUCUGAUUCUAAGAAUUCUAUAAACUUGAGUGUGGAUUUUUAAAUAUAGAUAUGUCUAGCUAUUCCACUUGUAGGCCAAAUGUGGAAAUAAGAACUUCAGUGCCACUGAAGUACCCUAACAUACUUGUGACAUGCUUCCUUCUUCUCAUCAACACACAGAGACAAAAUUAGUUUUGAUGUAACUAUUGUAAAAACUAAAAACCAGAGAGGGAAGGCUCUCACUCAUAGUUCUGCCUGAUUACAUAAUUGUGUAGUAGGUACUAAUUCAAUUUUAGCUAAAUAAUUCAAUAACUGAAAUAUAUAUGUCUGAUUUUACUUAAGAGACUCAGCUGUCAAAAUUGAAAAAAAAAAAUCUUCUGACAAUUAGCAGAGCAGUAACCUUAGGCAGGAUCAAGUCAGUCAGCCUAGUAGAUUUUAGCUCAAAUUUCACAUUCAAUCGGUGGUAGAAGACCAAAUGAGUCUGUAAUUGAUGCUGAGGUCUGUUACUUAGUGAUCCACUAAACAAAGGGAAAAUUACCACCAGGAAUCACAUGUGAUCUGUCAACACUGUCCACCAAAAAGAACAACAAAGCCAUUAGAAAUAUAUCAGUAAAAAAUUAGUAAAGAUGUAGUGGUGGUCAAACCAUGACAGAUAUCUUCCCCACUAAGUAUUUUUACUGAGUAUGACAUGCAUGGCAUAGGUUCCCAAAAGUAUCCCUUAUGAACCAGGAGCAGGAGCUGGACUUCUCCUACCUAAUUUGAAUAGAUUCACACUUUCUGCAUAGACAAUAGCUAGUAAUAGGUAUCUCAGUCUGUCAGGUAUUUGGGCUGAAUUUUGUAGUAAUGUGUUUUUCCUGUAACUUGACUGUAUGAAUCUACUUGCAAGUUCUUAUGGUUCAGAAUCGGAAAUUCUGAAAUCUGAAAUCCUCUGACACUGCUAAGCUUCAUUUUAGGUGGCAUCUAGUGCUUUCAGAGAAGGACUGGAAGAUAACAACAAGUGGCAGAAGCAAGUUUAAACAUCAAAGGCAUAUUGGAGAAAAAGUCAGACGCACUCUCUGUGGAAGGUUCAUGGAAAUUUGAACUGCUGGAGUCACUUGUGACCAAAUGUAUUUGAGGACCAGAGCAAAAUGAAGUGAUACAAGAUUAGACUGAAGGGUACUUGAGAGGUCUCUAUUACUUUGGUUUUGUGCUGGUUUCUUGUUUCUAAUUUUUUCUCAGUCUUCUGGCUUUAGGUUAGGAAACUUAAAUGAGAGAGGGACAACUUGUGUAACUGCAUUCAAGGGGUUCCAAAUUCAAGGUGAAAAAGAUAAACAGUGUAUAAAGAAAUAGGUGUGGUUAAAAAAUUAAAACAAUGAAAAACACAGUUAUGUGUAGAAUAUUAGCCAUAAUUAACUUCAAUGCAGAAGUAAUGAUUUUGACAUUCUUGCGAAACAACCUGAUAUGCUGUGGUUUUAUGUUAUAAUUUUAAAGAUUUUUUUAAUUGAUUGUUUAAACUUGAAAAAUUGUUUUUUCAGUCUUUAUCAAUUUUCCUCAAGACUGAGUUGCUAUUCACAAUGAGGACUUGACAAAAAUUGUAUACAAAACUUGCUAUUUUAUCUAAGAUUGGCAUCCACUUCUCAGGGCCAAAAAGAAAAUGACUUCUCACUUUCAAGGUUGUCAAAAAUGAAGGCCAGGAAGUAAGACACAAGAGGUCAGCCUAUUUAGACAGACAGCAGUGACCUGUCCUGUGUUUGGUAGUACCAUAUUCACAUGGACAACAUACUUCUGAUUAAACUGAAGAAUAUGGUGUUUUAAAAAGCAAUAAUUGGGUGGAUUUGCCAUUGGUUAUAAUGAAAAAGUAACCACAGAAAAAUAUCAUCAUGCAUGGAUCAGUGCUAUAGCUAAAAUGAGAUUUUAUUAAUACUGUGCUUUGCUACCGUGAAUUGACUCCUGGUUUUGAUUGCUUGAAACAGAAGUGGAACACUUUAAGCUGGACUAAUAGCAAUAUAAAUAUUGUACAUAAUUAUGUAAAAUGCAAAUAGCACAGUGCACUUGAUUUCUCAGACAAGAAGUAAGCUGUGUUUCCCACAAUGAGUUUGGCAGUGGGGAAGUACAACUCUACAACAGAGAAGGGGGCAGACAUGAAGUCCCUCUGGUGAAAAUGGCACAGCAGCUACACUGAAAACUCCAGCACAGCUGCUGAGGGAAAUGCCCGGUCAGUGGGUGCCAGUGAUGAGGCAAGCAGGCAGGAUGUGUCCAGAGCACGGGGGUCUCAGCAUGGGGAGCCAUUGACAGGGGAACACUUUCAUGCAGCAGAGAAGCAGGAAAUAGGAUGUUUUGAGGGAAACAGAGGAAGGAAACAGAGGCAGAGAAACAAGUGAAGGGGAAGAAAGGAAGAAAGCAGAUGAGGAAGAGAUGAAAUGAGGAAAUGGUGUUAUUAACUAUUAUAAGAUCUGGUUUUUUCGACAGCUGAAAAAGAUAAAACAUAAUUGUAUCAGAAUCAGAGAAUCAAAAGGACUAAAACUGCAAAAGAAAACGUAUUUUUCUGGAGGGAAGGCAGACAAGAUGCUCCAUUGGGAACAGAUGGCUUUCUGGAAAUCUCCCAACAAGGACUACUCCUGGAAUAGAUUUCAUCUGCAGGCCCCACGCAGAGGUAAUAUAUGAUACCUACAAAUAGAUAGUGCUCC